CAAUAGCGUAUAUUUAAGUUGUUGCAGUUAAAAAGCUCGUAGUUGGAUUUCGGGUGGGACGCAGCGGUCUCGCAUUGCGUUUGUACUGCUGCAGCCCUCCUUCUUGCCGGGGGCGGCCUCUCGGACUUCACUGUCUGGGGGUCAGAAUCGGCGAUGUUACUUUGAGUAAAUUAGAGUGUUCAAAGCAAGCUUACGCUCUGAAUAUAAUAGCAUGGGAUAACACGACAGGACUCUGGCCUAUCGUGUUGGUCUAUAGGACCAGAGUAAUGAUUAAGAGGGACAGUCGGGGGCAUUCGUAUUCCGUUGUCAGAGGUGAAAUUCUUGGAUUUACGGAAGACGAACAUCUGCGAAAGCAUUUGCCAAGGAUGUUUUCAUUA
Molecule: ribosomal RNA, 377 nt
Filed under: uncultured eukaryote
Lineage: Eukaryota
Description: partial 18S ribosomal RNA
Rfam family: Eukaryotic small subunit ribosomal RNA
Source: RNAcentral